GAGCUGUGAUGAGAUCUGGAGAUAGUCAUGCACCACUCUUACAAAAUUUAUUUUUUGAGUGAUGAUAUAUUUCUCAUACCCAUUUUGUUUCUGAGCUC
Molecule: non-coding RNA, 98 nt
Organism: Nicotiana sylvestris (wood tobacco)
Lineage: Eukaryota; Viridiplantae; Streptophyta; Magnoliopsida; Solanales; Solanaceae
Source: Rfam